RNAcentral lists this ribosomal RNA (437 nucleotides) under uncultured bacterium. Its description in RNAcentral is "partial 16S ribosomal RNA". It matches the Rfam family "Bacterial small subunit ribosomal RNA", at positions 28 to 507 of the family's 1533-position model. The record is from RNAcentral.
AGCGAACGCUGGCGGCAUGCUUAACACAUGCAAGUCGCGCGGACAGCUUCGGCUGCCGGCGGCGGACGGGUGCGGAACGCGUAGGAACGUGUCCGGAGAUCGGGGCCAACCCUGGGAAACCGCGGCUAAUACCGCAUAUGGCCCGCGGGCCAAAGCGGAAAGGCGGCUCCGGGGGGGGGUGCGUCCGCGUAGGUGGUGGGCGGCGUGACGGCCCACCACGUACGCGUGCGGUAGCCGGUCGGAGAGGCGGACCGGCCACGCCGGGACUGAGACACGGCCCAGACUCCUACGCGAGGCAGCAGUGUAGUAUAUUAGGGAAUGGGCGCAAGCCUGACACAGCAAUGCCGGGUGGGUGAAGAAGGUGUUCGGAUUGUAAAGCCCUUUCGGCGGGGACGAUGGUGACGGUACCCGCAGAAGAAGCCCCGGCCAACUUCGUG